GCGGAAGGAUCAUUAAAGAGUAAGGGUGCUCAGCGCCCGACCUCCAACCCUUUGUUGUUAAAACUACCUUGUUGCUUUGGCGGGACCGCUCGGUCCCGAGCCGCUGGGGAUUCGUCCCAGGCGAGCGCCCGCCAGAGUUAAACCAAACUCUUGUUAUUUAACCGGUCGUCUGAGUAAAAAUUUUUGAAUAAAUCAAAACUUUCAACAACGGAUCUCUUGGUUCUCGCA
This 228-nucleotide unclassified non-coding RNA is filed under the name uncultured fungus. Its description in RNAcentral is "partial contains 18S rRNA, ITS1, 5.8S rRNA". Lineage: Eukaryota; Fungi. The record is from RNAcentral.